RNAcentral lists this ribosomal RNA (253 nucleotides) under uncultured bacterium. Its description in RNAcentral is "partial 16S ribosomal RNA". It matches the Rfam family "Bacterial small subunit ribosomal RNA", at positions 524 to 776 of the family's 1533-position model. The record is from RNAcentral.
UACAGAGGUCCCAAGCGUUGUUCGGAUUCACUGGGCGUAAAGGGUGCGUAGGUGGCCAGGUAAGUUCGGUGUGAAAGCUCGGAGCUUAACUCCGAAAUGGCAUUGAAUACUAUCUGGCUAGAGGGUCGGAGGGGAGACUGGAAUUCUCGGUGUAGCAGUGAAAUGCGUAGAUAUCAGGAGGAACACCGAUGGCGAAGGCAGGUCUCUGGGCUGGCACUGACGCUCAUGCACGAAAGCGUGGGGAGCAAACAGG